RNAcentral lists this long non-coding RNA (476 nucleotides) under Junco hyemalis (dark-eyed junco). RNAcentral's name for it is "lncRNA (ENSJHYG00000013183.1)". The record is from RNAcentral. Lineage: Eukaryota; Metazoa; Chordata; Aves; Passeriformes; Passerellidae.
GUUCAUGAUUCCACUUCUGGGGAACGUACAGGAUGAAAAACUGUCUGAGAAAUGCCACAGCAGCCACCCAUCUCUCUUCAACUACUUUCUCAGCUAAAGGUGAAAUAUUUCUGCUCCAACUCAAGGCAUCCAGGAGUCAGACAUUUAUGUUUGGGCUGGUCAGAGCUGCAGCCAUUCUCCCUUUGCAGCUGACAAGGAGAAAUGGGAACCUCCAGAAGGUUGUUCAGCUUAUCCUCAGGCAGAUAUCUAUGGUGGAUCAGAAGAUUUGCUCUCAGAAAGUGCCUUCUUGUCUCCACUGCAAGAGUUCCUGUGACCACCAUCUCCUCCCAGGCUCAUCUGCUAAAGCCCCUCCUGGAAAAGGUCUCUCUUCAUAAUUUAGAUUCCAGCAUCCUUUUUUUGGAAAUUAACAACCACAUGGAGAUGGUCUGAUUGCACAGAGCCUUGUUGAGCUAGAGUCAACAUUUCCUUAACCUCUU